GAAUGCUCGGUAGCGUGCGAGUUUACCCCUAUCAGGAUGUUUGUUUGCAUAUCCCUCCAAGCGAGAGGGCUUGGUCCAAGCGAGAGGGCUUGGACCUAUGCUGAUGUUCGUUCCAAGAAGUGAACUGAGGACUGAUGCUACGGUGAAAGGUAUGCACGUAAAUUCGCCCGUGCGCCAAACGCCCUGUAACUCGCUUACGCUAAUCUCACAUUCCAAUAUGCCACUGCACUUUCUUCUCCAGCCUGGCCACAUUCUCUUCCUCGCAAACGUACUUGGGCACCUUACAAUCCAACACCAUACGGGCUUUGGAAACGCGGGCAGCUGCUUCACAAGGACCCCCCCCAUGUGUCCGGUCGUACUUCGCGAAUAAACCGUUCGUACAUCGUCCAAAAAAGCCAGGAGCGAAAUUCACCGCGCGGAUGCGCGCGUGGGAUUCACAAAAUGCGCCUGUACAAGUGUAUAUAUUUUUUCUUGGCGGAAAGGACCAGGCGCGCCAGCGCGUUGCGCAGGUGGGCAUGUUGGCCAAAGCCGCACGCGGCAUGCAUGCUGGACUAUUGCGUGGCUGCUUUGCAGUAACUAAAAGCACCGAAAGCCAACGUCGUAGCUUGCAACUCUGGGCUCGUGAAACUGCCGCGGAAGAUGAAGCGCUGGCGAAGAGGCAAUUGUAUGCAGCACCUUGUUCAGAGUAAAGUCAAAUUACAAAGUUGCGCAAAGUAUAACAUACAUAAACUUCAUUAAACAUAAGAACAGAUAAGACGUUUAGAGCCUUGUCGGUGACAUGGACGCCGCUGUUGGCUUGGAACAGCUAUUUGCUGUGCAUAGGGACGUGCCCGCGUUAGCCGUGUUGCAACAGUCUCAGGAUGGAUUUCAGCCAGCAACAGCCUCAAGAGCUGCUGCACAACCACCGGGAAUGUCUUCAGUUGAGCACGUGUAGUUUUGGUCGGCGGGGUCGAGCAACGUACGCAAUGCGCACAGAAACCAAGGUGCAGCGUUCUGUAACAUCGCCAACAUAUCCGGUACGCGGUGGCAGGCUUGCCGAACUCGAAAUGAAGGGGGGGUCGCAUCUCACCAUUCAACUAAGCAUGCAUGUGCUCGGUUGAAUGCUCGGUAGCGUGCGAGUUUACCCCUAUUAGGAUGCUUGUUUGCAUAUCCCUCCAAGCGAGAGGGCUUGGACCUAUGCUGAUGUUCGUUCCAAGAAGUGAACUGAGGACUGAUGCUACGGUGAAAGAUUUGCACGUAAAUUCGCCCGUGCAAUAAAUCGCCCUGUAACUCGCUUACGCUAAUCUCACAUUCCAAUAUGCCACUGCACUUUCCUCUCCAGCCUGGCCACAUUCUCUUCCUCGCAAACGUACUUGGGCACCUUACAAUCCAACACCAUACGGGCUUUGGAAACGCGGGCAGCUGCUUCACAAGGACCCCCCUAUUUUAAGCAGCCCCUCGCACAAAUGUGUCCGGUCGUACUUCGCGAAUAAAGUGUUCGUACAUCGUCCCAAAAAAGCCAGGAGCGAAUUUUGCCGCGCAGAUGCGCGCGUGCGAUUCACAAAAUGCGCCUGUACAAGUGUAUAUAAAUUUUCUUGGCGGAUGAGGACCACGUGCGCCAGCGCGUUGCGCAAGUGGGCAUGUUGGCCAUAGCCGCACGCGGCAUGCAUGCUGGACUAUUGCCUGGAUGCUUUGCAGUAACUGAAAGCACCCAAUGCCAACGUCCUAGCUUGCAACUCUGGGCUCGUGAAACUGCCGCGGAAGAUGAAGCGCUGGCGAAGAGGCAGUUGUAUGCAGCACCUUGUUCAGAGUAAAGUCAAAUUACAAAGUUGCGCAAAGUAUAACAUACAUAAACUUCAUUAAACAUAAGAACAGAUAAGACGUUUAGAGCCUUGUCGGUGACAUGGACGCCGCUGUUGGCUUGGAACAGCUAUUUGCUGUGCAUAGGGACGUGCCCGCGUUAGCCGUGUUGCAACAGCUCAGGAUGGAUUUCAGCCAGCAACAGCCUCGAGAGCUGCUGCACAACCACCGGGAAUGUCUUCAGUUGGGCACGUGUAGUUUUGGUCGGCGGGGUCGAGCAUCGUACGCAUUGCGCACAGAAACCAAGGUCCAGCGUUCUGUAACAUCGCCAACAUAUCCGGUACGCGGUGGCAGGCUUGCCGAGCACGAAAUGAAGGGGGGGUCGCAUCUCACCAUUCAACUAAGCAUGCAUGUGCUCGGUUGAAUGCUCGGUAGCGUGCGAGUUUACCCCUAUCAGGAUGUUUGUUUGCAUAUCCCCCCAAGCGAGAGGGCUUGCACCUAUGCUGAUGUUCGUUCCAAGAAGUGAACUGAGGACUGAUGCUACGGUGAAAGAUUUGCACGUAAACUCGCCCGUGCAAUAAAACGCCCUGUAACUCGCUUACGCUAAUCCCACAUUCCAAUAUGCCACUGCACUUUCCUCUCCAACCUGGCCACAUUCUCUUCCUCGCAAACGUACUUGGGCACCUUACAAUCCAACACCAUACGUGCUUUGGAAACGCGGGCAGCUGCUUCACAAGGACCCCCCUAUUUGUAACGAGUACGUGUAGAUAAUAAGCGUCGUACAUCUUAUGACUUCGAGUCAAAUCACGAUGUAAUUUGCAUCAUCCACACAAAUACCUUAGUCACCGGUGAGGAAACGGAAGCAGAAUGGGUGGGGACGAGAUGCCCUGUAAACAACAGAGAUCCUUCAGACUUGCCGUGUACAGAACAGCUCCGGAGAGAGGUACCUGCAAAAUGACGGGGCGGACGAAUCUUUCCGCGACUCCGAAUUGGAAGAAGUAUACCG
RNAcentral lists this long non-coding RNA (2785 nucleotides) under Volvox carteri. RNAcentral describes it as "long non-coding RNA (VCAR_LNC000685)". The record is from RNAcentral. Lineage: Eukaryota; Viridiplantae; Chlorophyta; Chlorophyceae; Chlamydomonadales; Volvocaceae.